Molecule: long non-coding RNA, 215 nt
Organism: Mastomys coucha (southern multimammate mouse)
Lineage: Eukaryota; Metazoa; Chordata; Mammalia; Rodentia; Muridae
Exons: 2
Source: RefSeq, a predicted model, not a curated record
AUAUAAGGAGCCGCAUCCGCCCCAGUGCCGCAGGUUCUCUUACAUCGACCGCCUAAGAGUCGCGCUGUAAGAAGCAACACCUCCUCUCGCCUCCGCCAUCCGCCCGGCAACCGCGAAGCAGCAACCAUGCGUGAGUGCAUCUCCAUCCAUGUUGGCCAGGCUGGUGUCCAGAUCGGCAAUGCCUGCUGGGAGCUCUACUGCCUGGAACAUGGCAU